This 591-nucleotide ribosomal RNA is filed under the name uncultured bacterium. Its description in RNAcentral is "bacterial SSU rRNA". It matches the Rfam family "Bacterial small subunit ribosomal RNA", at positions 55 to 643 of the family's 1533-position model. The record is from RNAcentral.
AUGCAAGUCGAACGGUAACAUUUCUAGCUUGCUAGAAGAUGACGAGUGGCGGACGGGUGAGUAAUGCUUGGGAACUUGCCUUUGCGAGGGGGAUAACAGUUGGAAACGACUGCUAAUACCGCAUAAUGUCUUCGGACCAAACGGGGCUUAGGCUCCGGCGCAAAGAGAGGCCCAAGUGAGAUUAGCUAGUUGGUAAGGUAACGGCUUACCAAGGCGACGAUCUCUAGCUGUUCUGAGAGGAAGAUCAGCCACACUGGGACUGAGACACGGCCCAGACUCCUACGGGAGGCAGCAGUGGGGAAUAUUGCACAAUGGGGGAAACCCUGAUGCAGCCAUGCCGCGUGUGUGAAGAAGGCCUUCGGGUUGUAAAGCACUUUCAGUUGUGAGGAAAAGUUAGUAGUUAAUACCUGCUAGCCGUGACGUUAAUAACAGAAGAAGCACCGGCUAACUCCGUGCCAGCAGCCGCGGUAAUACGGAGGGUGCGAGCGUUAAUCGGAAUUACUGGGCGUAAAGCGCACGCAGGCGGUUUGUUAAGCUAGAUGUGAAAGCCCCGGGCUCAACCUGGGAUGGUCAUUUAGAACUGGCAGACUA